AUUGAACGCUGGCGGCAUGCCUUACACAUGCAAGUCGAACGGCAGCACGGGAGCAAUCCUGGUGGCGAGUGGCGAACGGGUGAGUAAAGUAUCGGAACGUGCCCAGUCGUGGGGGAUAACGUAGCGAAAGUUAGGCUAAUACCGCAUACGAUCUAUGGAUGAAAGCGGGGGAUCGCAAGACCUCGCGCGAUUGGAGCGGCCGAUAUGAGAUUAGGUAGUUGGUGGGGUAAAGGCUCACCAAGCCGAGGAUCUGUAGCUGGUCUGAGAGGACGACCAGCCACACUGGGACUGAGACACGGCCCAGACUCCUACGGGAGGCAGCAGUGGGGAAUUUUGGACAAUGGGCGAAAGCCUGAUCCAGCCAUGCCGCGUGCAGGAUGAAGGCCUUCGGGUUGUAAACUGCUUUUGUACGGAACGAAAAGGUUUGGGCUAAUAAGCUGAGCUCAUGACGGUACCGUAAGAAUAAGCACCGGCUAACUACGUGCCAGCAGCCGCGGUAA
Molecule: ribosomal RNA, 500 nt
Filed under: uncultured bacterium
Lineage: Bacteria
Description: partial 16S ribosomal RNA
Rfam family: Bacterial small subunit ribosomal RNA
Source: RNAcentral